Long non-coding RNA from Lolium rigidum, 163 nucleotides. RefSeq lists it as uncharacterized. The record is from RefSeq and is a predicted model, not a curated record. Lineage: Eukaryota; Viridiplantae; Streptophyta; Magnoliopsida; Poales; Poaceae. The transcript is spliced from 3 exons.
CCUUAAUGUGUUUGUAAGACUGGGUUCAUCCCCUUCAAAGAAAAAAGAGACUAGUAUCGUUGCAAAAUGCAGAAAAUAGAAGAUAAGAGGACAGAGGCUGGGUUUUCAGAAAUUUCCUCUGGAGCAAAGAGAUGAGAGAAUAAGAGAUGUGGAGAUGGCAUGC